Molecule: ribosomal RNA, 468 nt
Filed under: uncultured bacterium
Lineage: Bacteria
Description: partial 16S ribosomal RNA
Rfam family: Bacterial small subunit ribosomal RNA
Source: RNAcentral
GACGAACGCUGGCGGCGUGCUUAACACAUGCAAGUCGAACGGAAAGGCCCUGCUUUUGUGGGGUGCUCGAGUGGCGAACGGGUGAGUAACACGUGAGUAACCUGCCCUUGACUUUGGGAUAACUUCAGGAAACUGGGGCUAAUACCGGAUAGGAGCUCCUGCUGCAUGGUGGGGGUUGGAAAGUUUCGGCGGUUGGGGAUGGACUCGCGGCUUAUCAGCUUGUUGGUGGGGUAGUGGCUUACCAAGGCUUUGACGGGUAGCCGGCCUGAGAGGGUGACCGGCCACAUUGGGACUGAGAUGCGGCCCAGACUCCUACGGGAGGCAGCAGUGGGGAAUAGUGCACAAUGGGCGGAAGCCUGAUGCAGCAACGCCGCGUGCGGGAUGACGGCCUUCGGGUUGUAACCCGCUUUCGCCUGUGACGAAGCGUGAGUGACGGUAAUGGGUAAAGAAGCACCGGCUAACUACGUG